UCUCCGUUGGUGAACCAGCGGAGGGAUCAUUACCGAGUUAUCAACUCCUAACCCCUGUGAACAUACCCAACGUUGCUUCGGCGGGACCGCCCCGGCGCCCUCGGCGUCCCGGAACCAGGCGCCCGCCGGAGGACCCAAACUCUUGUUUAAACCAUAGUGGCAUAUUCUGAGUCUCACAAGAAAAAUGAAUCAAAACUUUCAACAACGGAUCUCUUGGCUCUG
RNAcentral lists this unclassified non-coding RNA (222 nucleotides) under plant metagenome. RNAcentral describes it as "partial contains small subunit ribosomal RNA, internal transcribed spacer 1, and 5.8S ribosomal RNA". The record is from RNAcentral.